UUAAGCAUAUCAAUAAGCGGAGGAAAAGAAACCAACAGGGAUUCCCCUAGUAACGGCGAGUGAAGCGGGAACAGCUCAAAUUUGAAAUCUGGCCCUUGGGUCCGAGUUGUAAUUUGCAGAGGAUGCUUUUGGUGCGGUGCCUUCCGAGUUCCCUGGAACGGGACGCCUUAGAGGGUGAGAGCCCCGUACGGUUGGCCACCAAGCCUGUGUAAAGCUCCUUCGACGAGUCGAGUAGUUUGGGAAUGCUGCUCAAAAUGGGAGGUAUAUUUCUUCUAAAGCUAAAUACUGGCCAGAGACCGAUAGCGCACAAGUAGAGUGAUCGAAAGAUGAAAAGCACUUUGAAAAGAGGGUUAAAUAGCACGUGAAAUUGUUGAAAGGGAAGGAUUUAUGACCAGACUUUUUCUGGGGGGAUCAUCCGGUGUUCUCACCGGUGCACUUCCCCCAGUUGAGGCCAGCAUCGGUUUCUGCCGGGGGAUAAAAGCUUCGGGAAUGUGGCUCCUUCGGGAGUGUUAUAGCCCGUUGCAUAAUACCCUGGCGGGGACCGAGGUUCGCGCAUUGCAAGGAUGCUGGCGUAAUGGUUAUUAAUCACCCGUCUUGAAACACGGACCAAGGAGUCGAACAUUUGUGCGAGUGUUUGGGUGUUAAACCCUCACGCGUAAUGAAAGUGAACGGAGGUGAGAGCCUUUCGGGGUGCAUCAUCGACCGAUCCUGAUGUCUUCGGAUGGAUUUGAGUAAGAGCAUAACUGUUCGGACCCGAAAGAUGGUGAACUAUGCGUGGAUAGGGUGAAGCCAGAGGAAACUCUGGUGGAGGCUCGCAGCGGUUCUGACGUGCAAAUCGAUCGUCAAAUCUGCGCAUGGGGGCGAAAGACUAAUCGAACCAUCUAGUAGCUGGUUACCGCCGA
RNAcentral lists this ribosomal RNA (902 nucleotides) under Apiospora kogelbergensis. RNAcentral's name for it is "eukaryotic LSU rRNA". It matches the Rfam family "Eukaryotic large subunit ribosomal RNA", at positions 34 to 964 of the family's 3401-position model. The record is from RNAcentral. Lineage: Eukaryota; Fungi; Ascomycota; Sordariomycetes; Amphisphaeriales; Apiosporaceae.